This is a long non-coding RNA of Oncorhynchus keta (chum salmon), 3937 nucleotides long. RefSeq lists it as uncharacterized. The transcript is spliced from 14 exons. NCBI's taxonomy places the organism in Eukaryota, Metazoa, Chordata, Actinopteri, Salmoniformes, Salmonidae. The record is from RefSeq and is a predicted model, not a curated record.
UCUCUGUCUCUGUCUCUCUGUCUCUGUCUCUGUCUCUCUGUCUCUGUCUCUGUCUCUGUCUCUCUGUCUCUGUCUCUGUCUCUCUCUCUGUCUCUGUCUCUCUGUCUCUGCCAAACCCAUAAUGGGGUUCUGUUGGAAUUGGCAACUUUCACAGGAGUCAAAUUGAAGUCUCUAGGGGAAUACAAGAAUACACACCAAGAGCCAUGAAGAAGAAAAACAAACUAAACAACGAUGACAUUUUGGAACAAAUUGAAUGUCACUGACUCAGUCAGGCUUGACUGACAUGACAGAUCAAUACCCCAAAACACUACCCCCUCGGUCCCAAAUGGCACCCUAUAUAGGGAAUAGGGUGCAACAGGAUGCAGAAAACCACUCUCAUCAACAGAUUUGUGCAGAUAACACUUGUUUUAAAAUCCCAUGCUGAGGUUUAUCUCAGGUCCUAGCUGUGGACCAUGUUGGGGUUUAAACCAAAGACAUUACACUAGGUUAGCUGUGGACCAUGUUGGGGUUUAAACCAAAUACAUUACACUAGGUUAGCUGUUGACUGUUGUGGGGUUUAAACCAAAGACAUUACACUAGAUUAGCUGUUGACCAUGUUGGGGUUUAAACCAAAUACAUUACACUAGGUUAGCUGUUGUCCAUGUUGGGGUUUAAACCAAAUACAUUACACUAGGUUAGCUGCUGACCAUGUUGGGGUUUAAACCAAACACAUUACACUAGGUUAGCUGUGGACCAUGUUGGGGUUUAAACCAAAUACAUUACACUAGGUUAGCUGUUGACUGUUGUGGGGUUUAAACCAAAGACAUUACACUAGGUUAGCUGUUGACCAUGUUGGGGUUUAAACCAAAGACAUUACACUAGGUUAGCUGUUGACCAUGUUGGGGUUUAAACCAAAUACAUUACACUAGGUUAGCUGUUGACCAUGUUGGGGUUUAAACCAAAUACAUUACACUAGGUUAGCUGUUGACCAUGUUGGGGUUUAAACCAAAGACAUUACACUAGGUUAGCUGUUGACUGUUGUGGGGUUUAAACCAAAGCCAUUACACUAGGUUAGCUGUUGACCAUGUUGGGGUUUAAACCAAAUACAUUACACUAGGUUAGCUGUUGACCAUGUUGGGGUUUAAACCAAAGACAUUACACUAGGUUAGCUGUUGACUGUUGUGGGGUUUAAACCAAAUACAUUACACUAGGUUAGCUGUUGACCAUGUUGGGGUUUAAACCAAAUACAUUACACUAGGUUAGCUGUUGACUGUUGUGGGGUUUAAACCAAAUACAUUACACUAGGUUAGCUGUUGACCAUGUUGGGGUUUAAACCAAAUACAUUACACUAGGUUAGCUGUUGACUGUUGUGGGGUUUAAACCAAAGAAAUUACACUAGGUUAGCUGUUGACUGUUGUGGGGUUUAAACCAAAUACAUUACACUAGGUUAGCUAGCUGUUGACCAUGUUGGGGUUCAAACCAAAUACAUUACACUAGGUUAGUUAGCUGUUGACCAUGUUGGGGUUUAAACCAAAUACAUUACACUAGGUUAGCUGUUGACUGUUGUGGGGUUUAAACCAAAUACAUUACACUAGGUUAGCUGUUGACCAUGUUGGGGUUUAAACCAAAUACAUUACACUAGGUUAGCUGUUGACUGUUGUGGGGUUUAAACCAAAGAAAUUACACUAGGUUAGCUGUUGACCAUGUUGGGGUUUAAACCAAAGAAAUUACACUAGGUUAGCUGUUGACCAUGUUGGGGUUUAAACCAAAGACAUUACACUAGGUUAGCUGUUGACUGUUGUGGGGUUUAAACCAAAUACAUUACACUAGGUUAGCUGUUGACCAUGUUGGGGUUUAAACCAAAGACAUUACACUAGGUUAGCUGUUGACCAUCUUGGGGUUUAAACCAAAGACAUUACACUAGGUUAGCUGUUGACCAUGUUGGGGUUUAAACCAAAGACAUUACACUAGGUUAGCUGUUGACCAUGUUGGGGUUUAAACCAAAGACAUUACACUAGGUUAGCUGUUGACCAUGUUGGGGUUUAAACCAAAUACAUUACACUAGGUUAGCUGUUGACCAUGUUGGGGUUUAAACCAAAUACAUUACACUAGGUUAGCUGUUGACUGUUGUGGGGUUUAAACCAAAUACAUUACACUAGGUUAGCUAGCUGUUGACCAUGUUGGGGUUCAAACCAAAUACAUUACACUAGGUUAGUUAGCUGUUGACCAUGUUGGGGUUUAAACCAAAUACAUUACACUAGGUUAGCUGUUGACUGUUGUGGGGUUUAAACCAAAGACAUUACACUAGGUUAGCUGUGGACCAUGUUGGGGUUUAAACCAAAUACAUUACACUAGGUUAGCUGUUGACUGUUGUGGGGUUUAAACCAAAUACAUUACACUAGGUUAGCUAGCUGUUGACCAUGUUGGGGUUCAAACCAAAUACAUUACACUAGGUUAGUUAGCUGUUGACCAUGUUGGGGUUUAAACCAAAUACAUUACACUAGGUUAGCUGUUGACUGUUGUGGGGUUUAAACCAAAUACAUUACACUAGGUUAGCUGUUGACCAUGUUGGGGUUUAAACCAAACACAUUACACUAGGUUAGCUGUUGACUGUUGUGGGGUUUAAACCAAAUACAUUACACUAGGUUAGCUGUUGACCAUGUUGGGGUUUAAACCAAAUACAUUACACUAGGUUAGCUGUUGACUGUUGUGGGGUUUAAACCAAAUACAUUACACUAGGUUAGCUGUUGACCAUGUUGGGGUUUAAACCAAAUACAUUACACUAGGUUAGCUGUUGACCAUGUUGGGGUUUAAACCAAAUACAUUACACUAGGUUAGCUGUUGACCAUGUUGGGGUUUAAACCAAAUACAUUACACUAGGUUAGCUGUUGACCAUGUUGGGGUUUAAACCAAAUACAUUACACUAGGUUAGCUGUUGACUGUUGUGGGGUUUAAACCAAAUACAUUACACUAGGUUAGCUGUUGACCAUGUUGGGGUUUAAACCAAAUACAUUACACUAGGUUAGCUGUUGACCAUGUUGGGGUUUAAACCAAAGACAUUACACUAGGUUAGCUGUUGACCAUGUUGGGGUUUAAACCAAAGACAUUACACUAGGUUAGCUGUUGACCAUGUUGGGGUUUAAACCAAAUACAUUACACUAGGUUAGCUGUUGACCAUGUUGGGGUUUAAACCAAAGACAUUACACUAGGUUAGCUGUUGACCAUGUUGGGGUUUAAACCAAAUACAUUACACUAGGUUAGCUGUUGACCAUCUUGGGGUUUAAACCAAAGACAUUACACUAGGUUAGCUGUUGACUGUUGUGGGGUUUAAACCAAAGACAUUACACUAGGUUAGCUGUUGACCAUGUUGGGGUUUAAACCAAAUACAUUACACUAGGUUAGCUGUUGACCAUCUUGGGGUUUAAACCAAAGACAUUACACUAGGUUAGCUGUUGACCAUCUUGGGGUUUAAACCAAAGACAUUACACUAGGUUAGUUAGCUGUUGACUGUUGUGGGGUUUAAACCAAAGACAUUACACUAGGUUAGCUGUUGACCAUGUUGGGGUUUAAACCAAAUACAUUACACUAGGCUGGUCAUUUGUUGCCUAGAUGAAGGUGAAUGAGAGAAGUGGUGAAUGAAAAACAGAACCCCCCCCGUUCCCCCCGUUCCUUAAUGACUCUUCCAUAAACUCCCAUAACAUAUCGUAACAUACUAAAAACAACCAUAACAACUCAAUCCUUUACAUGACAUCACACAAUGAACAUUCCAGUAAACAUACAUACAUACCAUUAACAUACAAUUAUUACUAACACAACUUAAACUUUAUCAAAAUUAGGCGAGCGUUAUAAGGCACUAUACAGUCUAAACUUAACAAUACUUAUUUGAUGCUGUUUGGAAAUACUACAAUUUGUUUGCUCAUUCAUUGCUGUGAUACACACAAAAGGAUGACAUCGUCUA